GAGACACCCUUCUGGGGCAAGACUUGCUUCAGUGGGGCUUUGGUGCUCACUGAGUCUGCCCCCCGGGUGUGUCCCU
Molecule: microRNA precursor, 76 nt
Filed under: Myotis lucifugus (little brown bat)
Lineage: Eukaryota; Metazoa; Chordata; Mammalia; Chiroptera; Vespertilionidae
Description: mir-9229 microRNA precursor family
Rfam family: mir-9229 microRNA precursor family
Source: Rfam by way of RNAcentral